CGAGAAGCAAAACAAAAUGAAGUCAUGGGAGCCGAGCUUUCAGGUGUCGCUCUGCAGCAGCAACACUUAUGAGAACGAAAGCUGAUACUCAGACACGUCUCUCUCUCUCUCUCUCUCUCUCUCUCUCUCUCAGUCUCUUGCUUCUUCAAUCGCCUUUGAUCAGGCACUACCUAAUAUUUACUAUAGGUUCUCAUCUAAAGUUUAGUUCAAUUGUACAACCUCAAAAUGUCCAGUGGAGAGGUCAGAAGGGUCUCACGUCAAGAUAUACAACUGGUUCAAAAUCUUAUAGAACGAUGCCUUCAACUAUACAUGAACCAGAAAGAAGUUGUGGACACUCUUUUGGUUCAGGCAAGAAUAGAGCCUGGCUUUACUGAACUUGUUUGGCAAAAGCUUGAAGAAGAGAAUCGAGAUUUUUUCAAGGCAUACCAUGUUAGACUGAUGUUAAAGAACCAGAUUAUGAUUUUCAAUAAGUUGCUCGAGCAACAGGUUGAACUCAUGCGAAAGAAGAACCCAGCUGGGGUUUCUUUACCUGUUUCUAAUGGAUCACAUGCCUCAACAUUCCACCAAAAUCCACACUAUGUGGAGGAACAAAGAGUGACUCGUUCAAGACUGGACGACAUGCACCAUUCAGUAGAUCCCUCAAGUGCUCUCAGAAAUGGUAGGCCUUCCAUGCUUCGGAGUACGCAUACUGCUGACGAUGCCUCUGCCCAUGAUGGAAGCAUGGAUCUCUCUGUAAACAUGCUUUUGACUCAGAAUUCGGAGAUGGGAAUGCUACAAGCAAUGAAUGGGAUGGCAAUCAAAUCGGAACCUGGAUACUCGAACAGUUCAUCUUUCGUAUAUGGUGCUACCGAUGGGAAUGUCCUGGAAACACACUCAACAAUUGGAGAGGCAUCCAUCACAUCUUUUAGCAGCACUGAGUCUAACUCACAGACCUUGAAUGAAUCGUCCCUGGAUGCUAAUUUUGGAUUCCUACGCCAGAUUCCUCGCACUUUCAGUCUUUCUGACUUGACAGCCGACUUCUGUCAGAGUUCUGAUAUAAUGGAGAAUUACUCGAGGUCCCCUUUCCUAGAUGCCGAUGACUUCCCUGAUUCCCCUGGAAGGGAAUGCCAAGCAGGAGAAAAUAAGCGGCUUGACACCAUAUCAGAAAGCUUGAGUUAUGAAGAUUUUGGGAGUGAUUGAUCGAAUGGUCAAAUCGGCUUUUGCAAUGGUCGUGUGUGAGAGGGUGAAUGCCAUGUAUGUGAUCAUCCCUCCUCUCAUAUUCAGUUGGGACAUGUGGGCUGAUUGUUUCUUCAAGUGUGAUGUCUGAGAGGGUGAAUGCUGUGUAUGUGAUCAUCGCUCCUCUCAUAUUCAGUUGGAACAUGUGGGCUGAUUGUUUCUUCAAGUGUGAUGUGUAUGUCGUGUGGAGCAUGCAAUGGGAGCAUUCUUAUAUAUGGAAGAGAACCCUCAUUUGUGAGGUUAUGGACCUAAGUUGUGUACUCACUGUAGACACAAAUCAUACUUUUGAGAAAUGAUGGGAUAUCUAUGAGAAACCAGCUUGGGUAUUGUUCUACUAGUUCUACUCCUACAACUCAAUAGCCAAGUACAUCAGGUGAUAUAAUCACGCCUUGGAAAGAUGAGUAUUCUAAUUUGUUGAAUAAUUAAACCUACCUCUUGGCUUCCACUUCUACAGCCACAUUCAUGAAAUCAAGUAUUAUUUGUUUAUGAUCCAAGUCCUCUGCCCCAUGGGAUUAUCCAUUUUGGUGCCUCUGAUCAUAUAACAGGAUCUAAAGCCAGAAAAGAAGACUGGUGGACAUAAAUAUAGUGAGCUUUACUAUUUUGACCCUGAAGCAAUUGGAGCAGUAGCACAAAACAUCUCUCCUUACCACUACUCUUGUUGUCUUGGUCACCCGUUCUUGAAGAUUCUCAAAAGUGUUGCUUCUUCAUUAUCGCUUGUGUCAGCUUUAGAAUGUGAAGUCUGUGAGUUAAGUAACCAUCAUUGAGUCACUUUUUCAUGUGUGAAAAACCAUAGCCUGGUUCUACGUUAGAAGCAUGCCAAUCACACAAUCGUUGUUUUCGCUCUUUAGAGCCAUCUCAAUCACACAGAGAAAGGCAGACUUGUAAAUUGAAGUUCCUUGUUCAAAUUGUAUGUUGAACUGGCCUAUUACUCGAGAUAAGAAAUAUGGUUUGUACAUAAUUUAUA
Magnolia sinica is the source of this 2179-nucleotide RNA transcript. RefSeq lists it as uncharacterized. The record is from RefSeq and is a predicted model, not a curated record. The transcript is spliced from 10 exons. NCBI's taxonomy places the organism in Eukaryota, Viridiplantae, Streptophyta, Magnoliopsida, Magnoliales, Magnoliaceae.